AUCCGGAAAUUCUAGUGGGGCAGUAAGGAGGGCAAAAGAAAGCCAAGUUGGGUUUCAUGGAGUGUCCUGACAAGACCAAAAUUCUGUAGGGGGCUAGGCUUCAGGGACAUUGAACUUUUAAAUCUAGCUCUCCUGGCUAGACAAGCUUGGCGAGUUCUUUUGCAGCCAGAGUCGCUGAGUGCACGUGUGCUCAAAGCCAAGUAUCAUCCCACUUGCGACUUCCUGAAUGCAGAGUUGGGAUCGAAUCCAUCGCAGAUUUGGAGAUCAAUUUUAGAAUGACGCGAUGUCCUUGUACAGGGCCUCACCCGUCGUAUUGGAGACGGUCAAUCAACACAAAUUUGGCAGCAUAACUUGCUCCCU
This 360-nucleotide ribosomal RNA is filed under the name Triticum aestivum (bread wheat). Its description in RNAcentral is "partial small subunit ribosomal RNA". The record is from RNAcentral. Lineage: Eukaryota; Viridiplantae; Streptophyta; Magnoliopsida; Poales; Poaceae.